Molecule: ribosomal RNA, 465 nt
Filed under: uncultured bacterium
Lineage: Bacteria
Description: partial 16S ribosomal RNA
Rfam family: Bacterial small subunit ribosomal RNA
Source: RNAcentral
CCUACGGGAGGCAGCAGUGGGGAAUAUUGUGCAAUGGGCGAAAGCCUGACGCAGCGACGCCGCGUGAGGGAUGAAGGUCUUCGGAUCGUAAACCUCUGUCAGCAGGGAAGAACGGUCACUGUGCUAAUCAGCAGUGAAUUGACGGUACCUGCAAAGGAAGCACCGGCUAACUCCGUGCCAGCAGCCGCGGUAAUACGGAGGGUGCGAGCGUUAAUCGGAAUUACUGGGCGUAAAGCGCUCGUAGGCGGUAUGUCAAGUCAAGGGUGAAAUCCCCGCGCUCAAGGUGGGAACUGCCUUUGAUACUGGCAAACUGGAGUGUGUGAGAGGAUAGUGGAAUUCGAGGUGUAGGAGUGAAAUGCGUAGAUAUCUGGAGGAACAUCAGUGGCGAAGGCGACUAUCUGGCACAUAACUGACGCUGAGGAGCGAAAGCGUGGGUAGCAAACAGGAUUAGAUACCCCGGUAGUC